UGGUUAAAGAAUCCUUUCCAGUGCGGUUUU
This 30-nucleotide non-coding RNA is filed under the name Homo sapiens (human). The record is from RNAcentral. Lineage: Eukaryota; Metazoa; Chordata; Mammalia; Primates; Hominidae.